Molecule: ribosomal RNA, 412 nt
Filed under: uncultured microorganism
Description: bacterial SSU rRNA
Rfam family: Archaeal small subunit ribosomal RNA
Source: RNAcentral
CAGCCGCCGCGGUAAUACCGGCGGCCCGAGUGGUGGCCGCUAUUAUUGGGCCUAAAGCGCCCGUAGCCGGCCCGGCAAGUCCCUCCUUAAAGCCUCGGGCCCAACCCGAGGACGGGGGGGAUACUGCCGGGCUAGGGGGCGGGAGAGGCCGGCGGUACUCCCGGGGUAGGGGCGAAAUCCGUUAAUCCCGGGAGGACCACCAGUGGCGAAGGCGGCCGGCUGGAACGCGCCCGACGGUGAGGGGCGAAAGCCGGGGGAGCGAACCGGAUUAGAUACCCGGGUAGUCCCGGCUGUAAACGAUGCGGGCUAGCUGUGGGGCGGGCUUAGAGCCCGCCCAGUGGCGCAGGGAAGCCGUUAAGUCCGCCGCCUGGGGAGUACGGCCGCAAGGCUGAAACUUAAAGGAAUUGGCGGG